GACGAACGCUGGCGGCGCGCUUAACACAUGCAAGUCGAACGGUAAGGCCCUUCGGGGUACACGAGUGGCGAACGGGUGAGUAACACGUGGGUGAUCUGCCCUGCACUUCGGGAUAAGCCUGGGAAACUGGGUCUAAUACCGGAUAGGACCACUGCCUGCAUGGGUGGUGGUGGAAAGCUUUUGCGGUGUGGGAUGGGCCCGCGGCCUAUCAGCUUGUUGGUGGGGUGAUGGCCUAACAAGGCGACGACGGGUAGCCGGCCUGAGAGGGUGACCGGCCACACUAGGACUGAGAUACGGCCCAGACUCCUACGGGAGGCAGCAGUGGGGAAUAUUGCACAAUGGGCGCAAGCCUGAUGCAGCGACGCCGCGUGAGGGAUGACGGCCUUCGGGUUGUAAACCUCUUUCAGUAGGGACGAAGCGCAAGUGACGGUACCUACAGAAGAAGGACCGGCCAACUACGUGCCAGCCGCCGCGGUAA
This 478-nucleotide ribosomal RNA is filed under the name uncultured bacterium. RNAcentral describes it as "partial 16S ribosomal RNA". It matches the Rfam family "Bacterial small subunit ribosomal RNA", at positions 28 to 523 of the family's 1533-position model. The record is from RNAcentral.